Long non-coding RNA from Choloepus didactylus (southern two-toed sloth), 2640 nucleotides. RefSeq lists it as uncharacterized. The record is from RefSeq and is a predicted model, not a curated record. NCBI's taxonomy places the organism in Eukaryota, Metazoa, Chordata, Mammalia, Pilosa, Megalonychidae. The transcript is spliced from 3 exons.
ACUAAACACCCACCAUAAAAACCACACACACUCCAAACAGUACUGCACACACCCAAAGGAGUCGCUGAGGCCCCCACGUUUAAAGGGCCAGUACCCCUCUUUCCUACACACCCGCCCUCACGUUUAAAGGGCCAGUAUCUCCGCCUGCACCCCAGUUUCAUCUUUUACACACGAAAGGAGUGAGCCCCCGCCUUUCCUGCACCCCACCUCCGGACUCCGCAUCCGUCGGAGACUCUUCUUGGCAGGGCUCCUCUGCAGGUCACGUGGAUAAGACUGACUCUCCCACCAGAGGAGGUAGGACAUCCUGUGUCCAGGGGCCACUUCCUGACCCUUGAAAUUCCACGCAUAUCGCGAUUGAAGCAAGAGUUUCUGGACCACUGACCACCUUGAGUCUGGCAAACAAGGUCCUGCAGCUGUCUGCACACUGGGCCUGUGUCAUGUCCAUUUCACUGCUGGCUGCCCAAGGGCCAGACAUUGAGCCCUCCAGUGUCCGUCUGGCCUACAUGCACCCCAUGCCCUGGGUUGAGUGAGGGCUGGACGCAGCUACAGAAUAGCCCCCAUUUCCCCACCCAUGAUCAGCUCUAGGCCUAAAUCUUUGAAGAAAUGAUGCUUCUCCCAAUUUAUUCUGCAAGUUAGCCAUUAAAAAGAAAACAAAUUAAGCAUUUGUGCUGCCUUUUUAUAGAAAUAAUAUUUCAAGGUAACUAUCUACAAUUGAUGGAGAAGACUUCUAAUUUACAGAAGAAAUCUGCUAAUAAAUGUGGAAGGAAUGUGGAAUUAGAAAAAUCACCAUUUUCAAAUGAUUGAUCAAUUGAAGCAAGAAUCAUCAAUGGACAAAGCCAGGAUGAUGGCUGAUGGAGAACUUCACAAUGGAGAAAUCAAGCCAUCAUCACCUGACUCCACUGAGGAAUCUCAGCACCAUUAAAAGGGGCACAACUGGACACUGUGUAGCUCCAGAUGUGAUACCAUCUGAAGCAGUUAGCACCACCUAUGAGGGAUUCUUGCCAAAUAAAGAAACAAACAAACAAAAAUGAACAUGACUCUAAGCAAGCCUCUAAAGCCAACUUGAACAGGAAAUACAGGGGAUGGAGGGACAAAUUAAGGGACACAACAAGGAAGCAAUCAGACAUAUCCAGAAGAUGAGACAUUCAGGGAAAACUGACCCAGUUUCUUCAGUUACUCAAUGACUAGGCAAAACAGUGAGAGAGGACUUAAAAAGACGUAUCUACUAAAUGGAAUAUGUGGACGUCAUUUGGUUCCUGAUUUGGACAACCUAAAUUGUAAAAAGACAUUUUGAGAUAGAUGGGGACAUUUAAUUAUAGAUUGGGUAUUUCUGAUGCCAAGGAAUCAGUGUUAAUAUUGUUAGAUAUGAAAAUGGCUUUGGGGUUAUGUAAGAAAAGUCUCAUUUCCUAGAGAUGCAUGCUGAACUAUGGAGCGAAAUGACAUUUUUAAUUUUAAAUAUCUCAGCAAAGGGAAAAAGACAGAAAGAAAGGAGUACAAUGAGCAAAGGUGGCAAAAUCUUAAUAAUUGAUGAAUCUGCAUCAUGAGUUUAUGGGGGUUAACAGAACAAUGCUCUAUACCUUUGUUUAUAUUUUAACAUCUUCCUAAUAAAAGUUUUACAUGAUGCUGCUCUGGAAAGCAUGGUUCCUAGUAACUUGCAGAGCAACCCCCUUCCCUGAAAGCCAGGAGUGAACGCACGACUCUACCCACACAGAUCCCAGCCCUCCAUGCCCUCUAUUAGAAGUAUGUCCUAGAGCUGGAUUGCACUUGGAGGUUGCCCUUUAUCCCCUCCAGUCCUUCCCCGGCAAAUUUCCCACAUUCAGGACUUUUUCCAGCUGUGCUUCACAGCUCUGAGGGGGCCAGGGGAACUUUUAAGGGUAAGCAUAUUUUGAAUAGGUCUUACAUAAACAAAGAUAGUACAAAAUAAUGUGGUUUUGCUUUUCAUCUCUCUCUGGCAGGUACUUCUGAGCAAAAUGCAACUCAAUAAUGGGAGAAAACGGUUUUUGUUCUUGGGAAACAGAAGGAAAGGAAUUUAAGGUCAUCCUGUCCCAUCCCCUGCCUCCAGGCAAAUAACCUGACCCUAAAAGACAAGACCACCAAGAAAUGAGAGACUCUGUGCCAUAUGUUCAAAAGGCUGAAGCCCAGGACUGGGAUGGAGGGCAUUUGGGUCCACCAAGGACACACUUACUGAGUAAACUUGACGAAAUCAUGAUUUUUGAGUCUUAGUGUUUCUAGAUGAAAGUAUGGGAACCAUUACCCCUUUCUACACUCCAGAAGGGAUACCAGCUAGGGAUGAAGGCACUUUGGAACUUGAAGGAUAUAAAUCUCAGCUGUUUAUUACAAGAGAGUAUUUCUCAAGAUGUAAUCCCAAGUGCCCCCACCCUCUACUCUUCAUGGCACAGGAAGGAGUCAUAAUGCCUAUGGAAGGUCAAAGCUUUAAUAUAAAGAAAACAAACAUUUACUAAUCACCUGUGCAGGUAUUUAAACUCAUGUAAUCAUCUCAGAGACCAUAUAAGCUAUUUGGAUUGAUUGUAAAGUUUUGGUAAUGGAUGGUGGUGAUGGUAGAACAACAUUGUGAUUGCAGUUAACAGCACUGAUUUAUAUAUCUGAAUGUGGUUAAAAAGGGAAAUUUUAGGUUUUGUG